AAUAAACUGGAAACACCUCGUGCAUCACAUGCAUCACGAUAUUCGAGUAAUUCUGCCAGCCAUAUACCCGAUAAAAAAAUAGUAAGGUCACGAUUAGCGACUCAUAUAAAGUAUGGAAUCACCGCGACCCCGUCAAACACGAUUUAAAGGAAAAGCUCUGCUCGUCGCCAAAUUUUGUUUUUCUCCAUCAUGAAAGUAGCGUUGUUUUGUGUCUCCGUAGUGCGGAUUGUAUCUGGUCAGCAAAUAUCUAUGUGCCCGGCAAAAGUGUACAAUUCAUCGGGAACGAUGAACAUUUUUUGGGCACCGUAUCAUGCCGGAAUUUACGAGGUAAUUUUACCGGCUAUCGCGAAAUUGGAAGCCCUGAGCACUGUCUAAUGCUUUACCAAAGAUCGAACUGCGAUAAAAAUGGUCCGAAACUUAAAAUGCCCGCCAAAUCAAGAUGGAAUUGGGACCUGAAGCGCAAGGACCGGCCACAAUCCCUUGGAUGUUGCUAAAUUUCAUUUCGUCGGUGAAUCUGUAGACCGGUUUUAUUUUAAUUAUUUAUUUCAUUUAUUUAUUGAUUGAUGUAUUUUUACUUAUAAGUAAUUAAACAACUUGAUCUUAAUGACAUUGAUUUGCUAUGAUUUCCUGAUGUAAUACCAGACGAAGCCAGACAGAAUAUUGAAGAUGAAAUUACCAAACACGUCUCUUGUUUGCGGUCUUACAAAAUCUCCGCUCCCGUUUUAUUUUUUUAAAGGAGGACAAAUCAGUAUUAUUCCUUGAAGUUUUCACAGAAUUUCCUUUGUGCGUAAAAGAAAAAUCACGGAAGUUUGACAUUUUGAUUGGCUCCGUCACAUUUUUGUACUAUAUUGUCCUGUGAUACACGGAGAAGAAAACUUCGUGCGUGGGACCCAAAGUUUAGGUCAUAUGGACCUCUGAAGUUUUUGGAUUGAGCAUCCGAACACUUAAGGUCCAGCUGCUGAGGUUUGGAUCACACAUCUGAAACUUCAGUUCUUACAUCUGAAGUACUUCGGUUUUCACAUCCGAAAAACUUCGGUUCUCACAUCUGAAGUACUUCAGAUGUAAGAACUGAAGUUUCAGAUGUGUGAUCCGAACCUCGACAGCUAGAUCUAAAGUGUUCAGAUGCUCAAUCUGAAAACUUCAGAGAUCCAUAUGACCUAAACUUCGGGUCCCACGCACGAGGUUUUUUUCUCCGUGUAACACAUGGUUUUACUAAUUCCGCGGUUACACUCGAACUUUUCUUUCGGCACGUGCUGCCUCCGGUGCAGCGGAGGAGCUGCAUUUUCGGAUGAGGAAUCUACGCGAGAGAAUGUGUCGAAUGCGCGAGAGGAAAAGAAAAAAAACCAUGCUGGUUUAGCCGAGCGCUAAGCAACGGGGCUUGAGCUGACGUGAUAACUCGGCAGUUUGUAUUUAUUCCAAUGUUAAUAAGCCCGCUCCAGACCGUGAAGCUAAUUAUUUUGAAUGGGAAGACUUUCAUUUUCUAGCAAUCCAUACUUCCACCCGGCGUGACACCCACGCCAAGUUGCCGGUUUCUUUCCACGCUCCGCAGAAAAAAACAAGCUGUGUAACACCUCUCCCUUAAAAGAGGUGAAAAUAACAUCCAAGAGCACUGACAUGCUAAGGAAAAACGUCGUAUGAGCCUUCAGGCGUUGCCACAUUUUCUUUAAUAACCAAUGAAUAUACUGGUAGAAUUCUGAAUAUUUUAGACAAUUUUUCAGACAAUUUUGUUCCCGAUUUGAUCUAGAAUAUCGGAAAAUGCUAUGGAAAAAUAAGCAUAACUUCCUUCAAAAAUACAUGUUUUAUUCGGGGAUUUUUGGCAACUCUUGACUGAUCAUACGGCGUUCUUCCUUAGCACGACAGAGUAUAGGUGCGUGUAAAAUUGGGAAGAUUAGCCAUGUGUACACGCAGUAAGAAAAAGUAACCAAAAUAUUGUGUUAAUAUAGGGAGUAAGGCACGAAGUAACACAAGCUGUUGGUUCACUGAAAAAAAAAUCUCGGUGUAUUUACCAAGAAAAGGGUAAAAUUACCAAGAAUUCAGGGUUCUAUUUGAUCCCUGUUUUUUCUUGGUAAAAUUACCAUUUAUGGUAUUGGUAAUUUUACCGAGAAAUCUCAGUAAAAUUAUUGAACUUACGGCAAAGUUACCGGUGGACCUUGGUAAAA
Molecule: long non-coding RNA, 2159 nt
Filed under: Bemisia tabaci
Lineage: Eukaryota; Metazoa; Arthropoda; Insecta; Hemiptera; Aleyrodidae
Description: lncRNA ENSSWEETPG002649
Source: RNAcentral